UACGGAGGGGGCGAGCGUUAUUCGGAAUUAUUGGGCGUAAAGGGCGCGUAGGCGGCUUGAUGUGUCAAAGGUGAAAUCCCUCGGCUCAACUGAGGAACUGCCUUUGAAACUGUCUGGCUUGAGGCCGGGAGAGGGUAGCGGAAUUCCCAGUGUAGCGGUGAAAUGCGUAGAUAUUGGGAGGAACACCAGUGGCGAAGGCGGCUACCUGGACCGGUUCUGACGCUGAGGCGCGAAAGCGUGGGUAGCAAACAGG
RNAcentral lists this ribosomal RNA (253 nucleotides) under uncultured bacterium. RNAcentral describes it as "partial 16S ribosomal RNA". It matches the Rfam family "Bacterial small subunit ribosomal RNA", at positions 524 to 776 of the family's 1533-position model. The record is from RNAcentral.